Molecule: ribosomal RNA, 403 nt
Filed under: uncultured bacterium
Lineage: Bacteria
Description: partial 16S ribosomal RNA
Rfam family: Bacterial small subunit ribosomal RNA
Source: RNAcentral
AUUGAACGCUGGCGGCAGGCCUAACACAUGCAAGUCGAGCGAGCGGCGGACGGGUGAGUAAUGUAUGGGGACUGCCCGAUAGAGGGGGAUAACUACUGGAAACGGUAGCUAAUACCGCAUACUAUCGGAUAACCCAUAUGGGAUUAGCUAGUAGGUGAGGUAAUGGCUCACCUAGGCGACGAUCCCUAGCUGGUCUGAGAGGAUGAUCAGCCACACAGGGACUGGGCAACGGCCCAGGCUCCGACGGGGGCAGCAGUGGGGAAUAUUGCACAAAGCGCGCAAGCCUGAUGCAGCGACGCCGCGUAGGGGAUGAAGGCUUUCGGGUUGUUAACCUCUUUCGGUAUCGAACGGGUAGGUGGAGAAGAAGCGCCGGCUAACUACGUGCCAGCAGCCGCGGUAAUAC